RNAcentral lists this ribosomal RNA (426 nucleotides) under uncultured bacterium. Its description in RNAcentral is "bacterial SSU rRNA". It matches the Rfam family "Bacterial small subunit ribosomal RNA", at positions 355 to 774 of the family's 1533-position model. The record is from RNAcentral.
UCGAGAAUUUUUCACAAUGGGCGAAAGCCUGAUGGAGCGACGCCGCGUGGGGGAUGAAUGGCUUCGGCCCGUAAACCCCUGUCAUUCGCGAGCAAACGUUAUUAUUUAAAAGAUGAUAGCCUGAUAGUAGCGAAAGAGGAAGGGACGGCUAACUCUGUGCCAGCAGCCGCGGUAAUACAGAGGUCCCAAGCGUUGUUCGGAUUUACUGGGCGUAAAGGGUGCGUAGGUGGUGGGGUAAGUCGGAUGUGAAAUCUCCGAGCUCAACUCGGAAAGUGCAUUGGAAACUACCCUGCUCGAGGGUUGGAGGGGGGACUGGAAUACUUGGUGUAGCAGUGAAAUGCGUAGAUAUCAAGUGGAACACCAGUGGCGAAGGCGAGUCCCUGGACAACUCCUGACACUGAGGCACGAAAGCCAGGGGAGCAAACA